RNAcentral lists this long non-coding RNA (2055 nucleotides) under Homo sapiens (human). RNAcentral describes it as "HSALNT0372285". The record is from RNAcentral. Lineage: Eukaryota; Metazoa; Chordata; Mammalia; Primates; Hominidae.
CGGGCGGGCGCGGCGGGGAAAGCUGGGCGCGCGAGCCGAGGCUGCUGCUCACCUGCAGCCGCGCCGCUCACCUGCCGCGGAGUGCGCGCCCCGCGCCCUCCCGGCCCGCUCCGGAGCCCGGCCGCCCCCCCCUUGCCACAGCGGGCAACUGCGCCGACAUGCGACACGAGUAGCCCACGCGCUUCGGAAGCACCGGAGGAGCCCCCUCGGCCUGGGCGAGCCAAGAAACCAAGAGAUCCAGAAAGCGCUCUGUCUCAUUUGCUGCGGCUGCAUCCCGUCCAGUCUCGCCCAGAGAGCGCGCUCGCCCAGUGAUGUGUAGCACCCUUGCACCCAGGAGGACUCUGCAUUUACCAAGCACUUCCACUGCCUGGCCAAGAUGGAGUCUCGCUGUCACCCAGAGUCGAGUGCAGUGGCACAAUCUUGGCUUACUACAACCUCCGCCUCCCGGGUUCAAGCGAUUUUCCUGCCUCAGCUUCCCGAGUAGCUGGGACUACAGGUGCGCACCACCACACCCAGCCUUAAGUUUGAAUAAUUUGUAAUUACUACUGGCUAUAAGAAAUCCUUGUUAUAGUUGAAUAAUAAUUAUCACUAUAAGGGCUAACACUCUGCACUCAAUUUGUUUCAGGGGCCAUGCUAACGACUUUAUGUGUAUUGACUUAUUUAUUCUUCACAUCCACAAAGAUGAUAUUUGGUAGUAUUAAUUCUACUAUUUAAAAGGAGAGUGUUCACACAUGCAAAUUGAGAGUGAUUCUUAUAACCCUUCUUUUGUGUCUCCUAAUCCUGUGUUGUACACAUCCCUGGAGCUUAACACACUUUCACUAUGUCUGGGCCAAAACUCUUCAACAAUUUAUUGGCUUAAUAAUCAAGGUUGCAUUUCAGAAGCCAUUGCAUUUAAAUACAGAUUGUAUUAUGUUUUUGUGCCUAACAUAUCAGUACAAAAUUUGACAGACACAGUAGUCAUUGUGAUUCUUUGUCAUAUCUGGCAAGCUAUGAAGAGGGGUAGGCAAAAGUCCAGAACCCGUCUCUAUCCUGCCAAAGUGUGUGGCCCUUGCCAGACCUCACCAGUGUGUCUUUCUCGCAUUUUUGAGAAGGGGCAGGGAAACUCCACACAUGGCAGAGUGAUGAGCUUGUGGAAAUAAUAAUGACACAACUAGAUUAAUGUGUGCAAAUAUACAGUGAGAUGGAAGAAAUGAGACCUGGUGUUCAGAUGAGUAGGAUGCCACAGUUAACAUUAACCAGUUGUACAUUUCAAAAUAACUAGAAGAGAAUACUUGAAGUGUUCCUAGCAUAAAGAAAAGAUAAAUGUUUAGGUGAUGGAUAUGCCAGUUACCAUGAUUUGAUUUUAUGAAUGUAUGAAAUUAUCACAUGCAUCCCUAAAAUAUGUACAUGUAUUUUUAUCAAUAAAGAAUUAAAAAAUAAAAUGAAUGACAAAAAGUAAUGACACUAUAUUUAAAAGUCACAGCAAACAGCACAAUGUAUUGAGUAUUUGCUGUUCCAGGCACUGUCAUAGGCGUUUUACAUAAGUGAAUUCUUUUCAUCUUUACAAUGACACAGUGACAUUUAGGUACUUUUAUUAUCUCCCUCUCACAGAUGAGGAAAUUAGGGAUUGAAAGAUGAAGUAACAUGCCACGAUAUCCCACCUGUUAAGUGGCUGGUCCAUCCAAGCCUAGAACCUCCCUCUUUACUACUAGACACACUUGCUUCCUGUCUGUCCUUGAGGAUUAACCUGGUGUUUGUCUCUGAGGCCCAACUACAUGAUAUUCACACCAACUGCAAUUCCUGGAAGACAUAGAUGCUCAGAAUUUCUUUGUUGUAUUGCCUCUAAAUAGAAGGCUAUUUUCCACCAAUGUUGGAGCCAGAUUCCUUGCUUCUGCUUAAACACCUGAACACAACUUAAGUCAACUGCAUUAAAGGUGUGGACAGGCCGGGCACGGUGGCUCACGCCUAUAAUCCCAGCACGUUGGGAGGCUGAGGCGGGCGGAUCACGACAUCAGGAGAUAGAGACCAUCCUGGCUAACAUGGUGAAACCCCGUCUCUACUAAAAAUACAAAAAAU